This is a non-coding RNA of Maylandia zebra (zebra mbuna), 1100 nucleotides long. The record is from RefSeq and is a predicted model, not a curated record. Lineage: Eukaryota; Metazoa; Chordata; Actinopteri; Cichliformes; Cichlidae.
GAGGAUGUUACUCUCAGUCUUGACUGGCUAAUAAAGUUACACCAUUACACAGUUAAUUCGCGUUUAUUGUUAUAUUUACAAAAUACCACCGUUUUUGUCGUAUCAUGUUAUUUUGUUGCAUUUAUCCGCCACACCGUGAAAAUACUGUCUGACGUUAAACCGGCCAGUGGAGCAGCGAAGGUUGGGGACCGCUGCUCUACAGCCGUAAUCAAUCCCGGCCCUUUCAGUUGUAAUGAGGCUUGCUGUUUACGCUUCAGUGCCAGGCAGUCAGCAACAAGGUGAUCCUUUAAUAACAGUAUUCACCAUCAUGUGGACGUGAGGGGGUCUCACGACCAGACUCAAGCCUCGCACGGCGCAACUCGACAUUAACGUCACCUUGUGUUCAUUUACGAACAUUAUUCAUCUCUCGGGUAAGGAUGCUUAAAAUCCUCCAAUAGCAUUAGCUCACGAGGUGACUCAUAAUCAUCAUUAACUGUCUAAUUAGUGACCUGAGCUGUAAAGCAGGGCUGGGAGAGCUGCGUUCACAUGUUGGCGCCAUACUCUGCGCCCUUCUCUAAACAAACGCUUCUUAUAGCAAAGACACUGUCCUUCAUUUCAGCUAAACUUCCACUCGAAGACGUUCAAACGAUGCCUGGAGCGCAAAAGACCGCAGUACUGCCAGGUGGGCGUGUCUCAGUAGCUAUGCCAUGAAAACUACACAGAAAAGCCGCACGUGAAGUCAACGCGAAGCAUGCGCAUGCGCCACGGCCAAAGGCGCUGAACGUUCGAACCGACGUCACGUCAGGUCCUGAUGGUCAAAAGUACACAACUAUCCAGAUCUAGUGUGAGGACGGAGAGUGAAAGAUUGGAAAAAGUGAUCAUUUGUGCAAAGCUGUCGCCAAAACGUGAAUUCACGGACGAGAUUGUGGAAACAUGAACGUGAUCCCAUUAGAUGAACGUGCUGAACCGAGGUGCAGUCAUCUCAGCGUGCCUCUGUUUAGAUUUGGAGACAUUGAACGAUGCCUCAGAAACUAUUUAGACGAUUUAUCGCUCAGACAGUGGACGGCAUUAGCCACCGAUGACGUCUCCUCGGAUGUCGUCGAUCUGCUGAGCGAGAUGUG